GCAGGGUGAAAAUGAUCCGUAGCAAUACGGUGAAACACGACUGGCGUAUGGUGAGUAAUGGAUGGGUAACGUGCCCCGGACACGGGAAUAAGCGCCCGAAAGGGCGUCUAAUACCCGAUGACCUCCCUGGGUUUCAUGGCCUGGGGAGCAAAGGUUGGGGACCGCAAGGCCUGGCGGUCUGGGAUCGGCCCAUUUCCUAUCAGCUAGUUGGUGAGGUAACGGCUCACCAAGGCAUUGACGGGUAGCGGGACUGAGAGGUUGGCCCGCCACAUUGGCACUGAGACACUGGCCAGACUCCUACGGGAGGCUGCAGUAACGGAUCUUCCGCAAUGGGCGCAAGCCUGACGGAGCGACGCCGCGUGCAGGAGGAAGCCCUUCGGGGUGUAAACUGCUGUCAGGGGUAAGCAAGCGACCCGGGUUAACAGCCCGGGAAAUUGAGUUAUCCCAGAGGAAGCCACGGCUAACUCUGUGCCAGCAGCCGCGGUAAUACAGAGGUGGCAAGCGUUGUUCGGAAUCACUGGGCUUAAAGGGCGCGCAGGCGGUUGGAAGGGUGUCCUGUGAAAUCCCUCGGCUUAACCGAGGAACUGCGGGGCAAACCGUCCGACUUGAGGCAGGUAGAGGUUGAUGGAACUCUGGGUGGAGCGGUGAAAUGCGUAGAUAUCCAGGGGAACGCCAAUGGCGAAAGCAGUCAACUGGGCCUGCCCUGACGCUGAGGCGCGAAAGCCAGGGGAGCAAACGGGAUUAGAUACCCCGGUAGUCCUGGCCCUAAACGAUGUCUACUGGGUUUGAGAAUCUCUGACGGUUCUCGGGCCGAAACAAAAGUGUUAAGUAGACCGCCUGGGGAGUACGGCCGCAAGGCUAAAACUCAAAGGAAUUGACGGGGGCUCACACAAGCGGUGGAGCAUGUGGCUCAAUUCGAUUCAACGCGAAGAACCUUAUCCCGGGUUUGACAUGCAGGUAGUAGGCGUCCGAAAGGACAACCACUGGUAUCCAGUCCAGAGCCUGCACAGGUGCUGCAUGGCUGUCGUCAGCUCGUGCUGUGAAGUGUUGGGUUAAGUCCCAUAACGAGCGAAACCCUUGUCUUUAGUUGCCAUCAGGUUAUGCUGGGAACUCUAAAGAGACUGCCGGUGUUAAACCGGAGGAAGGUGGGGAUGGCGUCAAGUCCUCAUGGCCUUUAUACCCGGGGCUGCACACGUGCUACAAUGGCGUCUGACAAAGCGAUCCGAGACCGAGGUGGAGGAAAUCGCAAAAACGACGCCCCAGUUCGGACUGUAGGCUGCAACUCGCCUACACGAAGCCGGAAUCGCUAGUAAUCGCAGAUCAGCUAUGCUGCGGUGAAUGUGUUCCUGAGCCUUGUACACACCGCCCGUCAAGUCAUGGGAGCUGGGCGCACCCGAAGUCCGUGAGCCAAGCCGCAAGGCAGGCAGCGGCCGACGGUGAACUCGGUGACUGGGACUAAGUCGUAACAAGGUA
RNAcentral lists this ribosomal RNA (1473 nucleotides) under metagenome. RNAcentral's name for it is "bacterial SSU rRNA". It matches the Rfam family "Bacterial small subunit ribosomal RNA". The record is from RNAcentral.